GACGAACGCUGGCGGCGUGCUUAACACAUGCAAGUCGAACGGAAAGGCCCUGCUUUUGUGGGGUGCUCGAGUGGCGAACGGGUGAGUAACACGUGAGAAACCUGCCCUUGACUUUGGGAUAACUUCAGGAAACUGGGGCUAAUACCGGAUAGGAGCACCUGCUGCAUGGUGGGGGUUGGAAAGUUUCGGCGGUUGGGGAUGGACUCGCGGCUUAUCAGCUUGUUGGUGGGGUAGUGGCUUACCAAGGCUUUGACGGGUAGCCGGCCUGAGAGGGUGACCGGCCACAUUGGGACUGAGAUACGGCCCAGACUCCUACGGGAGGCAGCAGUGGGGAAUAUUGCACAAUGGGCGGAAGCCUGAUGCAGCAACGCCGCGUGCGGGAUGACGGCCUUCGGGUUGUAAACCGCUUUCGCCUGUGACGAAGCGUGAGUGACGGUAAUGGGUAAAGAAGCACCGGCUAACUACGUG
This 468-nucleotide ribosomal RNA is filed under the name uncultured bacterium. RNAcentral's name for it is "partial 16S ribosomal RNA". It matches the Rfam family "Bacterial small subunit ribosomal RNA", at positions 28 to 507 of the family's 1533-position model. The record is from RNAcentral.